Molecule: ribosomal RNA, 676 nt
Filed under: uncultured bacterium
Lineage: Bacteria
Description: bacterial SSU rRNA
Rfam family: Bacterial small subunit ribosomal RNA
Source: RNAcentral
AGAGUUUGAUCCUGGCUCAGGACGAACGCUGGCGGUGUGCUUCACACAUGCAAGUCGAGCGAAUGAAGUAGGUAGCUUGCUACUUAUGGAUUUAGCGGCGGACGGGUGAGUAAUAUAUAGGAAUCUGCCUUAGAGCGGGGAACAACAGACCGAAAGGUUUGCUAAUGCCCCAUAGGUAUGCAGUCUUCGGAUUGUAUAUUAAAGGAGUAAUCCACUCUAAGAUGAGCCUGUAUCCGAUUAGCUAGUUGGCGGGGUAAAGGCCCACCAAGGCUACGAUCGGUAGUUGGUCUGAGAGGAUGAUCAGCCACAAUGGGACUGAGACACGGCCCAUACUCCUACGGGAGGUAGCAGUGGGGAAUUUUACACAAUGGGGGAAACCCUGAUGUAGCGACACCGCGUGAACGAAGAAGCCUUUUGGGGUGUAAAGUUCUGUCGGCUGGAACGAAAAAAAUGACGGUACCAGCAAAGGAAGCAUCGGCUAACUACGUGCCAGCAGCCGCGGUAAGACGUAGGAUGCAAGCGUUGUCCGGAUUUAUUGGGCGUAAAGAGUUCGUAGGCGGUUAUUUAAGUCUGAUGUUAAAUACUGUGGCCCAACCACAGAACUGCAUUGGAUACUGGAUGACUUGAGUGCGGUAGAGGCAAGUGGAAUUCCCAGUGUAGCGGUGAAAUGCGUAGA